UACGGGGGGAGCAAGCGUUGUUCGGAUUUACUGGGCGUAAAGGGCGCGUAGGCGGCCACCGCAAGUCGACUGUGAAAUCUCCGGGCUUAACCCGGAAAAGGUCAGCCGAUACUGCGGGGCUAGAGUGCAGAAGGGGCAACUGGAAUUCUCGGUGUAGCGGUGAAAUGCGUAGAUAUCGAGAGGAACACCUGCGGCGAAGGCGGGUUGCUGGGCUGACACUGACGUGAGGCGCGAAAGCUAGGGGGAGCGAACGGGG
Molecule: ribosomal RNA, 256 nt
Filed under: uncultured bacterium
Lineage: Bacteria
Description: partial 16S ribosomal RNA
Rfam family: Bacterial small subunit ribosomal RNA
Source: RNAcentral